AAUUCACCUCCUCUGCUGACACCUCCUCCUGAGGUGUGCAGUGCAGGCUGCAAUCACAUCAGGAAAUUCACAUCUGUGUGUACAAACUGUGCUAGCCACAGAAGUGAUGCAGCUUAAGAAGAGGUGAUAAGGGGUAAAAACACACAGCAAGAAUGUGAAAAGCAGCAGAUGUGAAUGAAGUAUUUAUUAGUGAAGAAGUGGAAGGAACUGAGACAAAUGGCUUCAAUAUAUUAUUAGAGAUCUGACAAAUCUGGACAAAUUUACUAGACAAACCAAGAGAUCUGAGCAAGAACAAGCAUCCUCACACGACAAAGCUGAGCAUGAAGGCGCUCAUGCCUACAGUCAGAACACAGCUCCUCUAAAGGCACAAGUCCAGAAGAAAAGGCUGAUCCACAGUGUUGAACCAGAAUGUCUUGGAAUCCAUGCCCAAGAGCAACUUCAGCCUGAUCAUACAACCCUCUGCCAUUUGGUACAGCUGUAUGGAAUUUUGGUACAGCUGUGUGGAAUUCUUCAGGACUCAGUCUGAUAUUCCUGCUAGCUCUUACACCAUUUCCUCCACAGGGCUCUGAAAUCAUACACUUUAAGUGUUAUUUAUAGCCCAAUCAAGACACAA
Molecule: long non-coding RNA, 613 nt
Organism: Passer domesticus (house sparrow)
Lineage: Eukaryota; Metazoa; Chordata; Aves; Passeriformes; Passeridae
Exons: 4
Source: RefSeq, a predicted model, not a curated record